RNAcentral lists this ribosomal RNA (450 nucleotides) under uncultured bacterium. Its description in RNAcentral is "partial 16S ribosomal RNA". It matches the Rfam family "Bacterial small subunit ribosomal RNA", at positions 354 to 796 of the family's 1533-position model. The record is from RNAcentral.
GUGGGGAAUCUUCCGCAAUGGACGAAAGUCUGACGGAGCAACGCCGCGUGAGUGAUGAAGGUCUUCGGAUUGUAAAGCUCUGUUAAUCGGGACGAAAGAGCCUAGUGUGAAUAAUGCUAGGAAGUGACGGUACCGGAAUAGAAAGCCACGGCUAACUACGUGCCAGCAGCCGCGGUAAUACGUAGGUGGCAAGCGUUGUCCGGAAUUAUUGGGCGUAAAGCGCGCGCAGGCGGAUCUGCCAGUCUGUCUUAAAAGUUCGGGGCUUAACCCCGUGAUGGGAUGGAAACUACAGAUCUAGAGUAUCGGAGAGGAAAGUGGAAUUCCUAGUGUAGCGGUGAAAUGCGUAGAUAUUAGGAAGAACACCAGUGGCGAAGGCGACUUUCUAGACGAAAACUGACGCUGAGGCGCGAAAGCCAGGGGAGCGAACGGGAUUAGAAACCCGUGUAGUCC